AAACCCGCCUAGAUAGGCGGGCCU
RNAcentral lists this small nuclear RNA (24 nucleotides) under Arabidopsis thaliana (thale cress). RNAcentral's name for it is "snRNA_02959". The record is from RNAcentral. Lineage: Eukaryota; Viridiplantae; Streptophyta; Magnoliopsida; Brassicales; Brassicaceae.